RNAcentral lists this ribosomal RNA (427 nucleotides) under uncultured bacterium. RNAcentral's name for it is "bacterial SSU rRNA". It matches the Rfam family "Bacterial small subunit ribosomal RNA", at positions 355 to 775 of the family's 1533-position model. The record is from RNAcentral.
UCGGGAAUCUUCCGCAAUGGGCGAAAGCCUGACGGAGCGACGCCGCGUGAGCGAUGAAGGCCUUCGGGUUGUAAAGCUCUGUGGGGAGGGAAGAAUAAGUUUAGGCGAAUACCCUGAAUGAUGACGGUACCUCCUUAGCAAGCACCGGCUAACUCUGUGCCAGCAGCCGCGGUAAGACAGAGGGUGCAAACGUUGUUCGGAUUUACUGGGCGUAAAGCGCGUGUAGGCGGCUUGGCAAGUUGAAUGUGAAAGCCCACGGCUCAACCGUGGAAGCGCAUCCAAAACUGCUUCGCUCGAGUCUCGGAGAGGAAGGUGGAAUGCUUGGUGUAGAGGUGAAAUUCGUAGAUAUCAAGCAGAACACCUGCGGCGAAGGCGGCCUUCUGGACGAUGACUGACGCUGAGACGCGAAAGCGUGGGGAGCAAACAG